This 263-nucleotide ribosomal RNA is filed under the name uncultured soil bacterium. RNAcentral's name for it is "partial 16S ribosomal RNA". It matches the Rfam family "Bacterial small subunit ribosomal RNA", at positions 26 to 290 of the family's 1533-position model. The record is from RNAcentral.
AGAUUGAACGCUGGCGGCAGGCCUAACACAUGCAAGUCGAGCGGUAGAGAGGUGCUUGCACCUCUUGAGAGCGGCGGACGGGUGAGUAAAGCCUAGGAAUCUGCCUGGUAGUGGGGGGAUAACGCUCGGAAACGGACGCUAAUACCGCAUACGUCCUACGGGAGAAAGCAGGGGACCUUCGGGCCUUGCGCUAUCAGAUGAGCCUAGGUCGGAUUAGCUAGUUGGUGAGGUAAUGGCUCACCAAGGCGACGAUCCGUAACUGG